GGCGAUCGACUCCCCUCAACCUGAGCUUCAUUUUGGCGGUGACGGUGUCGCAAAUGGUGGCCGGAGUUAGUAGUUGCAGUGGAGAGAGAAAGUGGGUGGCAGCCGCGUUUUCUGGCUUUUCCGGCGAGUUUUGGCUGAUCGGAGGACAUAUUCGGACUCCUCUCAGCUCAAGCUUUUCAAUGGCAUCGGUUUCGUGGCGAUCAGACUCUGUUUGAAAAUCGACAGUCGAGAUCAUCUGUAAAUCCCUCCGGAUGAUGGUUCCGAGUCUGUUGGUGUGUUCGGAUUGUCGAUCGGACUCUGGCAGUUGGAAGCGAGUUGAUCGAGCGAUCAAGCGUCUCGGUAAUUUUCUGGCCCAUUGAUUUUAGAAUUUACUGGUAAAAUUUUUGUAUUUAUUGAAUUGUGUUGAGCAUUAGAAAAUAUUAUGAGUUAAAAUAAUUAUUUGUCAGACUGUCUCCCNNNNNNNNNNNNNNNNNNAGGUCGUGAUUUGUGAUGUGUGACGGAGUCGGAAAAAAUAGUAAAGUUUUGGGGACUCGACUCCCGUUAAAAUAAAUUGUUGAAUAUUUGAAGUGUUUUCUGGAAGGUCUUGGACCCGUUUUACGGGGGUAAAUGUCUGUAUUUUAGAGAAAGUUCUACCGAAUUUUUGGUAGAAUUUACCCGAAUCGAGAUUUUUAGAUAGUCAGUCCUAGGAAUCUAGACCUAGGGUUAAUUGUCAAAUGUUUCAAUGUUAUUGAUUAAUUGUUUUCCGUGAUUAGAUAAUCCAUCAGUUCGGCUCGCUCCAUCCGAGGCAUCGGAGCAAGCUAGGAGGUCGUCAAAGUUUUGAGUUAAAAGUCAUAUGUCUGUUUACAUGUGUUAUGCUAAGAUUUUACGAAAUAAUUCUAAUUACAUGAUUUAAUAUUUUAAUCAGUUAUUUUAAUCGUUACUUAUAUAAGUUUUCAUUUCUGCAUUAUGAUUUUUAUUGUUUCGUGUUGACUCGGGAUGGGAUGGCUGUAGAACAUGCUAUUUAAUGAAUGCACCGAUAUGAAUCUAAGACUGAUAGCAAAGGGGCAAAAAGGAAAAAUUUUAAAAGGUAAAUUUAGGACUUGUUCUGGUCGAGCAUUGCUCUCUAGGCUUAGUAGAAUAUGUUUGUCGGAGUAAAGGUCCCUGGUCGAGCAUUGCUCUCUGUGCGCCGACUUAUUUGGAAACUUGAAUGACCAGACUGGAUUUAAAGUCUCUGGUCAAGCUUCGCUCUCCGAGCACUAGUCUUAUUGGAGAAAGAGAGCCGAAAGGCUAAGANNNGAGUCGAGAUGCUAGUGUUGAGAUUAGGGUUCUGCUGAGGUACUUCGUCCCAUAGUACGUGAAAGUUAUUUUUAUUUAAGAAUGGCAUGACACGUUUAUUUUUGCAUAACUUAAUAUUUAUUUCAAAUUAACUAAAGGUGUUAUUGAAGUGUUUGUAAUUGUUUUUGGAUAUAUAAUUUUAACUCACUCUCAAGACUGACAGUCUCAAUUUUACUGUUUGUCAUAUCUAUGAUUGUUAGUGUUCCCACGGCUCCUAUCUAGCAACCUACCUCCUUCAUCAUCGGGUGAUAUAAUUGAUUUGGUAUGUUUAACUUGUAAAAUCUUAGAUUCUCCGCAGUAGAAAUAAUAAACUUAUCAGUUGUAAUUUUAUGUAGUUUGGGUCUUGCCAAAUUCUACUCGCAGACCGAAUUAAAUACGUAGAAUUUAAUGGUUAAGAUAAAUUGUAACAUCAGUAAUAUUAGAUGAGAUUUAAUUAAGCGAGUGAGUGUCAGGUUUACUACGGAAUUUGGUAGCCUUACAUCUGCCCAUUCCCUAGUGCCGGUCACGGGCCCACAGACCGGGUCGUGACAAUUAAGACUUUCUAAAGUUAAUGAUUUUAUGAAUGAUUUUCACAUGAAAUACUUUUAAAAAGUUUAUGAAUUUUUAACGACUUUUACAGAAUUUAUUUUUUUAUGAAUGAUUUUCACAGAUUUUACUUAAAAAUAUUUUUAAAGACAUUAGUAGACUUCUAUUAAUUUUAUAGACUACUAUUUUAUUUAUUAUUUAAUUAUUUAGAAAUAAAUUUUAAUUAUUUUACUUUUAUUAUUUUCAUCAUCUUUUUUUACAUUUAUUUUAAAUAUUAUUCUACAUAAUGUUAUAUGUAACUCUAUACAAAAAUAUCAUAUUUCAUUUCAUUAUUGCCAAAUUCAUAUCAUUUUUAAAUUUUCUACCUCAUGGCAUAAACACUAUUUUUUGUCAAGACAAUAAUUUUUUAAAAAAGAAAUUAUCAUAUUACAAUUUGUCUCUGAUUAAAUUACCAAACUCAUGUCAUACUCGUUAUAUUUUAUUUAUUACCUAUUUGAUAAAUACUUAAACUAACAAUAAUCAUGCCUUUUAAUUCAUUGAUUAAUAUCUAAACCAAAAACAAUCACGUUUACCAAUAAAAAAUUAUCUUUUGAAUAAAACCUAGAAAUUUAAAUAUAGUGGGAUUGUUGCUCAAUAUAAUUCACUAAAUGCUUCAUUUAAAAUUUAUAUUUUUAUGAGGGCCCUUUUAAAAUUAAAUUAAUAACUUUUAAUUAAUUUUUUUGUAUAUGUGAGUACAAGAAAAUAUUAUUAGUAAAUAAUUUUUAGCUUAUGAGUUUUAUCCAAUUUUUUAUAUUUUUUAAGAUGGAAAAUACAGUAAAGAGAAAUGAAAACGAUAAUGUAAGAUAAAUUUAAAAAGAAAAGGAACGAGUUUUCAAAAAAAGUCUAUUGAAAUCUUGAAAAAAUGUGAAAGAAAAAUCUUGAGAAUUUUUUUUCAUAACAAUGUAGAAAAAGUGAUUAAAAGUAUAUAAAAGUCCACGUCUAUAAAAGUUAAUGACUUUUUGAAUACUAGCUUAUUUUUAAAGACUUUGUAAAAGUUGUAAUUGAAUACCUCAUAACUUAUGUAAAGUUUUUAAAAAUUAGUAUUGAAUACAUCGUCCUAAAAGAGAAAAUUUAAUUGAGAUUAAACUCUAUAAAGUCAUUAAAAAAUUUAAUUGAAUACACCCUCCUAAAAGAGAAACAAUUGAGAUUAUUUCACAAACCUCCAUUUCUUUCUUGUUUAGAGUACAAUAGAGAAAAUAAAUUUGGAAAUAAAAAGCAAAUUUGAUACAUAAAAUUACUUGUUGAGCCUGUAUAAACAACAACCUCAACAAGCACUCAAAUCAUAUUAUUUUUCUAUUGGUUUAAAGGUCAAUGUGCCUUCUCAACUUGGAGUCAAUAAUCAAUUAAUUCAAGUUUUAAAUUUUUGGCUCAUUUUAUCCACCAACUUGGUAAAAGAGGAAAAUUCAAUCCAAACUCCGAUAAAAUUAAAAAAUUGAAUUACUUGCAUUAAGCAAGGAAGUAAAUAGAGGGCUUAAUCAAUAAGUAAAGUUUAUUUUAGUCCUUGGAUUUUAUACUAUUUUAAAAUUUUUGCCUAAUCUACCUAAGAACUUCAAUGAAUUAAGUAUUUAUAAUUCAAUAGGAAGCUGUAUAAAGAGCAUUAUUGGAAAUUCUUAAAAUAGUAGUUAAUCCAUAGAUUAUGCAGUUGUUAUUAUUAUUUCUAAUAAUAAAGAAUAAUAAAGAAUAAGUUAAUAAAAAAUAUAAUAAGAUUUUUAAUAUUUAAGAAUUAAUUUAUCAUAAUUUUAUGAAAUAAUAAUACUUUAAUAUAAUUUUGAAUCUCUUCCUUAAUAAAAUCUUUUAAUAUUUUAAAAAUUAUAUUAAUACAAUAAAUAUAAUAUCUAUAUUAAACAUAUUUGUAUUGACAUAUUAAUUAUAUAAUAUAACUAUUAUGCUAUUUUUAGGAUUUAUAUAACUAGGAAAGUAACUUAAUUAAUUUAGAAAUUAACUUAUUAAAAGACAAACUAAUUUAAAGUUUGAGAGAGGGUUAUCAUUGAUAAUAUUUGAAUCAUUGAUUUAUUUUCACUUUUAGAUAGAUAACUUGAGCUUUAACUUAUCUUGAUAUAUAUCUUAUCAAAAAAAUUUAUUAAAUUAUAAAAAUUUGAAUUAAAAAAUCAAAUUUGAGCUCUUAUUCACUAAAAAAUCCUUUUUCAUAAAAGAAAAAAAAUUCUAUUUCUCUCCUUACUUUCUUCCCCUUUUUCUUAAAAGAAAAAAGGCUAAAUAUAAAAUCUAUCAUUGUCCCCAAAAUUAGCACAAGAUGUACCAACUACUUCUUGUAUGUUAUUGUUGGCACCUAUGUGUUUUUAGAGGUUGUUGAGAACCAUUGGACUGGUAAUCCAAUUGUUAAUUUGAUCUUGUCAUGAACCAAUUUAUUGGUUAGCAAAUGAUUAACACAUGAAAACAACUUUUCUCUUCCAUGUAUUUGACAUUUCUUGUUGGAACUUCCUGAAUGAAAUCAUCUUUUGCAGAGUAAUAAAGGUCCUAAAUUGGUGGCUUUUUGAGCUGUCCAAGUCUCCAUAAAGUUUACAACUUCAAAACUUCUCUAACAGACAUUAAAGAAAGAAAGAAAGAAAGAAAGAAAGAACUUGAUUCAAGCAAGAAUUACUCUGCAAGCAUAUCUACAUUUGUGUUGAUAAAAAAUUAAGUUUGAUUCAUAAAUGACAUAAUAUAUUUACAUAUCGACAGAAAAGAAAAGAGAAGUCUUAGAUACCUCUAGUUUACUGCACCCAAAAUCAUUGCAUGGAUGAUACAUAUAUUUGAGAGUUCUACACUUGUAUAAUGAGACAGCUGACAGAUAUUUAAAAUAUUAUGACUACUCUUUAAAUAUCACUCAUCUAACUGUAGGAAACUAUACACUAAAAGCAACCAAGAAAAAUCAAACAAGGAAAAAAUGGUUAGUAUUUACUUCCGCAACUAAUAAUGGCAUUAUGAUCAUUUUCUUAUUUGCUGUUUCUUUUCUUCUUUUCUUUUUUAAAUAAUUUACAGGAUUGUUAUAAUAUGAUUGAACCCUAAUGCAUGAUGGUCAGAAAACUCCUUGUAGAGACUGAAUCUUGUGGAGAAAUUGAGAAGGAGCUAUCAUCACAUUCAUAUUCUAAAUCUUCAAAUCC
Molecule: long non-coding RNA, 4979 nt
Filed under: Ricinus communis (castor bean)
Lineage: Eukaryota; Viridiplantae; Streptophyta; Magnoliopsida; Malpighiales; Euphorbiaceae
Description: long non-coding RNA (RCOM_LNC002658)
Source: RNAcentral